Molecule: ribosomal RNA, 218 nt
Filed under: uncultured bacterium
Lineage: Bacteria
Description: partial 16S ribosomal RNA
Rfam family: Bacterial small subunit ribosomal RNA
Source: RNAcentral
ACGCUCGACACCUACGGGAGGCAGCAGUGAGGAAUAUUGGUCAAUGGGCGCUAGCCUGAACCAGCCAAGUAGCGUGAAGGAUGAAGGCUCUAUGGGUCGUAAACUUCUUUUAUAUAAGAAUAAAGUGCAGUAUGUAUACUGUUUUGUAUGUAUUAUAUGAAUAAGGAUCGGCUAACUCCGUGCCAGCAGCCUCGGUAAUCUGAGCGGGCUGGCAAGGC